GACGAACGCUGGCGGCGUGCCUAACACAUGCAAGUCGAGCGGAGAUUGCAGUAAUGUAAUCUUAGCGGCGGACGGGUGAGUAACGCGUGGGCAACCUACCUUUAUCUGGGGGAUAACACAGGGAAACUUGUGCUAAUACCGCAUAAAAUCAUAAGAAGACAUCUUCUAAUGAUCAAAGGAGUAAUCCGGAUAGAGAUGGGCCCGCGUCCGAUUAGCUAGUUGGUGGUGUAACGGACCACCAAGGCGACGAUCGGUAGCCGAACUGAGAGGUUGAUCGGCCACAUUGGGACUGAGACACGGCCCAGACUCCUACGGGAGGCAGCAGUGGGGAAUAUUGCGCAAUGGGGGAAACCCUGACGCAGCAACGCCGCGUGAAGGAUGAAGGUUUUCGGAUCGUAAACUUCUUUGAUGAGGGACGAAUAAAUGACGGUACCUCAAAAACAAGCCACGGCUAACUACGUGCCAGCCGCCGCGGUAA
This 478-nucleotide ribosomal RNA is filed under the name uncultured bacterium. RNAcentral's name for it is "partial 16S ribosomal RNA". It matches the Rfam family "Bacterial small subunit ribosomal RNA", at positions 28 to 523 of the family's 1533-position model. The record is from RNAcentral.